Molecule: ribosomal RNA, 484 nt
Filed under: uncultured bacterium
Lineage: Bacteria
Description: partial 16S ribosomal RNA
Rfam family: Bacterial small subunit ribosomal RNA
Source: RNAcentral
AUUGAACGCUGGCGGCAGGCCUAACACAUGCAAGUCGAGCGGAUGAAGGGAGCUUGCUCCUGGAUUCAGCGGCGGACGGGUGAGUAAUGCCUAGGAAUCUGCCUGGUAGUGGGGGAUAACGUCCGGAAACGGGCGCUAAUACCGCAUACGUCCUGAGGGAGAAAGUGGGGGAUCUUCGGACCUCACGCUAUCAGAUGAGCCUAGGUCGGAUUAGCUAGUUGGUGGGGUAAAGGCCUACCAAGGCGACGAUCCGUAACUGGUCUGAGAGGAUGAUCAGUCACACUGGAACUGAGACACUGUCCAGACUCCUACGGGAGGCAGCAGUGGGGAAUAUUGGACAAUGGGCGAAAGCCUGAUCCAGCCAUGCCGCGUGUGUGAAGAAGGUCUUCGGAUUGUAAAGCACUUUAAGUUGGGAGGAAGGGCAGUAAGUUAAUACCUUGCUGUUUUGACGUUACCAACAGAAUAAGCACCGGCUAACUUCGUG